UUGACAUGUCAGGAAUCCUGAAGAGAUUUGGGAGUGCUCGCAAGAGAGCCGGAACACAGGUGCUGCAUGGCUGUCGUCAGCUCGUGUCGUGAGAUGUUGGGUUAAGUCCCGCAACGAGCGCAACCCUUGUCAUUAGUUGCCAUCAUUUGGUUGGGCACUCUAAUGAGACUGCCGGUGACAAACCGGAGGAAAGGUGGGGAUGACGUCAAGUCCUCAUGGCCCUUAUGGGUAGGGCUUCACACGUCAUACAAUGGUCGGUACAGAGGGUUGCCAACCCGCGAGGGGGAGCUAAUCCCACAAAGCCGAUCGUAGUCCGGAUCGCAGUCUGCAACUCGACUGCGUGAAGUCGGAAUCGCUAGUAAUCGUGGAUCAGCAUGUCACGGUGAAUACGUUCCCGGGUCUUGU
Molecule: ribosomal RNA, 405 nt
Filed under: uncultured Rhodocyclaceae bacterium
Lineage: Bacteria; Pseudomonadati; Pseudomonadota; Betaproteobacteria; Rhodocyclales; Rhodocyclaceae
Description: bacterial SSU rRNA
Rfam family: Bacterial small subunit ribosomal RNA
Source: RNAcentral